Molecule: ribosomal RNA, 541 nt
Filed under: uncultured bacterium
Lineage: Bacteria
Description: bacterial SSU rRNA
Rfam family: Bacterial small subunit ribosomal RNA
Source: RNAcentral
GAGGAAUAUUGGUCAAUGGGCGAGAGCCUGAACCAGCCAAGUCGCGUGAAGGACGACGGUUCUAUGGAUUGUAAACUUCUUUUGUAGAGGAAUAACGGCAGCUACGUGUAGCUGAGAUGCAUGUACUCUACGAAUAAGUAUCGGCUAACUCCGUGCCAGCAGCCGCGGUAAUACGGAGGAUACGAGCGUUAUCCGGAAUUAUUGGGUUUAAAGGGUGCGUAGGUGGCGUAUUAAGUCAGUGGUGAAAAGCUGCAGCUCAACUGUAGUCUUGCCGUUGAAACUGAUAUGCUAGAGAGGAGACGAGGUAUGCGGAAUGUGUGGUGUAGCGGUGAAAUGCAUAGAUAUCACACAGAACGCCGAUUGCGAAGGCAGCGUACCAGGCUCCGUCUGACACUGAAGCACGAAAGCGUGGGGAUCAAACAGGAUUAGAUACCCUGGUAGUCCACGCAGUAAACGAUGAAUACUAGAUUUUUGCGAUAUACUGUAAGAGUCUAAGCGAAAGCGAUAAGUAUUCCACCUGGGGAGUACGCCGGCAACGGUG